This 158-nucleotide ribosomal RNA is filed under the name Lonchocarpus cristatus. RNAcentral's name for it is "partial 5.8S ribosomal RNA". It matches the Rfam family "5.8S ribosomal RNA". From Rfam's summary of the family: 5.8S ribosomal RNA (5.8S rRNA) is a component of the large subunit of the eukaryotic ribosome. It is transcribed by RNA polymerase I as part of the 45S precursor that also contains 18S and 28S rRNA. Lineage: Eukaryota; Viridiplantae; Streptophyta; Magnoliopsida; Fabales; Fabaceae. The record is from RNAcentral.
GACUCUCGGCAACGGAUAUCUCGGCUCUUGCAUCGAUGAAGAACGCAGCGAAAUGCGAUACUUGGUGUGAAUUGCAGAAUCCCGUGAACCAUCGAGUCUUUGAACGCAAGUUGCGCCCGAAGCCAUUAGGCCGAGGGCACGCCUGCCUGGGUGUCACA